UAAGCAUGGGGUAUUCAUGGCAGUAC
Molecule: non-coding RNA, 26 nt
Filed under: Rattus norvegicus (Norway rat)
Lineage: Eukaryota; Metazoa; Chordata; Mammalia; Rodentia; Muridae
Source: RNAcentral